CCCCCUGAAUUUAAGCAUAUUAAUGAGGGGAGGAAAAGAAACUAACAAGGAUUUUCUUAGUAGCGGCGAGCGAAAAGAAAAUAGUUCAGCACUAAGUCACUUUGUCUUUAUGGCAAAUGUGAGAUGCAGUGUAUGGAAUGUCAAAUUUCUAGUAUGAGAAAUUAACUAUUUAAGUCCUUCUUAAAUGAGGCCAUUUACCCAAAGAGGGUGCCAGGCCCGUAUAAAGUUAAUGAUUACUAGAUGGCAUUUCCAAAGAGUCGUGUUGCUUGAUAGUGCAGCACUAAGUGGGUGGUAAACUCCAUCUAAAACUAAAUAUAACCAUGAGACCGAUAGUAAACAAGUACCGUGAGGGAAAGUUGAAAAGAACUCUGAAUAGAGAGUUAAAUAGUACGUGAAACUGCUUAGAGGUUAAGCCCGAUGAACCUGAAUAUCCGUUAUAGAAAAUUCAUCAUUAUGAUUUUAAUAUUAAUAAUAUUAUAAUAAUGGUGUGCAUUUUUUCUAUAUAUGGACAUUGUAAUCUAUUAACAGUUUAUUCAAAUUAUUUUGCUUGCAAUUUAAUAUAGAAUAAAUGCUCAUGAUUUGAUAAAGUGUUGAUAGAUUUAUUAUAUAUAGUGCUUAAAUAUUUAUAUUUUAUAAUAGCAUAUUAAUCAUUGAUUUUUAUGUUUAUUAUAUGCACUUAUAUGAUUAACAAUGCGAAAGAUUCAGGAUACCUUCGGGACCCGUCUUGAAACACGGACCAAGGAGUCUAACAUAUUUGCAAGUUAUUGGGAAUUAAAACCUAAUAGCGUAAUUAACAUAACUUUAAUGGGAUUAGUUUUUAGCCUAUUUAGUCUAUUAAUUCAAUCCCGGGGCGUUCUAUACAGUUAUGUAUAAUAAUAUUUAUAUUAUUUAUACCUCUAACUAGAGCGUACCUUGAGCAUAUAUGCUGUGACCCGAAAGAUGGUGAACUAUACUUGAUCAGGUUGAAGUCAGGGGAAACCCUGAUGGAAGACCGAAACAGUUCUGACGUGCAAAUCGAUUGUCAGAAUUGAGUAUAGGGGCGAAAGACCAAUCGAACCAUCUAGUAGCUGGUUCCCUCCGAAGUUUCCCUCAGGAUAGCUGGUGCAUUUAAAAAUUAUGUAAAAUAAUCUUAUCUGGUAAAGCGAAUGAUUAGAGGCAUUAGGGUCGAAACGACCUUAACCUAUUCUCAAACUUUAAAUGGGUAAGAACCUCACCUUUCUUGGUAUGAAGGUCGUGGUUGUGAUAUAAUGUGCCCAGUGGGCCACUUUUGGUAAGCAGAACUGGCGCUGUGGGAUGAACCAAACGUAAUGUUACGGUGCCCAAAUUAACAACUCAUGCAGAUACCAUGAAAGGCGUUGGUUGCUUAAAACAGCAGGACGGUGGACAUGGAAGUCGUAAUCCGCUAAGGAGUGUGUAAAUGAUCCGAGUUAGUCGGUCCUAAGUUCAAGGCGAAAGCCGAAAAUUUUCAAGUAACAAUGAAAAUUUUCUGUUUUAUAGUCGUACUACCAUGGAAGUCUUUCGAAGAGAGAUAUGGUAGAUGGACUAGAAGAGCAUGACAUUUACUGUUGUGUCGAUAUUUUCUCCUCGGACCUUGAAAAUUUAUGGUGGGGUCACGCAAACUUCUCAACAGGCCGUACCAAUAUCCGCAGGCUGGUCUCCAGGUGAAGAGUCUCUAGUCGA
RNAcentral lists this ribosomal RNA (1680 nucleotides) under Bengalia depressa. RNAcentral describes it as "eukaryotic LSU rRNA". It matches the Rfam family "Eukaryotic large subunit ribosomal RNA", at positions 24 to 1888 of the family's 3401-position model. The record is from RNAcentral. Lineage: Eukaryota; Metazoa; Arthropoda; Insecta; Diptera; Calliphoridae.